AUUGAACGCUGGCGGCAGGCCUAACACAUGCAAGUCGAACGGUAACAGGAAACAGCUUGCUGUUUCGCUGACGAGUGGCGGACGGGUGAGUAAUGUCUGGGAAACUGCCUGAUGGAGGGGGAUAACUACUGGAAACGGUAGCUAAUACCGCAUAACGUCGCAAGACCAAAGAGGGGGACCUUCGGGCCUCUUGCCAUCGGAUGUGCCCAGAUGGGAUUAGCUAGUAGGUGGGGUAACGGCUCACCUAGGCGACGAUCCCUAGCUGGUCUGAGAGGAUGACCAGCCACACUGGAACUGAGACACAGUCCAGACUCCUACGGGAGGCAGCAGUGGGGAAUAUUGCACAAUGGGCGCAAGCCUGAUGCAGCCAUGCCGCGUGUAUGAAGAAGGCCUUCGGGUUGUAAAGUACUUUCAGCGGGGAGGAAGGGAGUAAAGUUAAUACCUUUACUCAUUGACGUUACCCGCAGAAGAAGCACCGGCUAACUCCGUG
This 490-nucleotide ribosomal RNA is filed under the name uncultured bacterium. RNAcentral describes it as "partial 16S ribosomal RNA". It matches the Rfam family "Bacterial small subunit ribosomal RNA", at positions 30 to 507 of the family's 1533-position model. The record is from RNAcentral.